GCAGAUGCCUUUGAUGUGGCCGUGCCGCAAAGGCAUGGAGGAAAGUCCGGACUGCGCAUGACAGGAUAGCGGCUAAUGACCGCCGGGGGCGACCCCAGGAUUAGAGCAACAGAGACGAGUCGAUUCAAUUCGGGUGAAACGGGCAAUCUCUAUCCGCAGCAACCCCAAGUAGGUUCCCACAAAGCGGGUCAUGACGCGGGAACGGGUAGGGGGCUUGACGUCCGUGGAGACACGGAACGCAGAUUAAUCACAUCACCAGACAGAAUCCGGCUUACAGGGCAUCUGCAAAC
Molecule: RNase P RNA, 290 nt
Filed under: Rickettsiales bacterium
Lineage: Bacteria; Pseudomonadati; Pseudomonadota; Alphaproteobacteria; Rickettsiales
Description: RNase P RNA component class A
Rfam family: Bacterial RNase P class A
About the family: Ribonuclease P (RNase P) is a ubiquitous endoribonuclease, found in archaea, bacteria and eukarya as well as chloroplasts and mitochondria. Its best characterised activity is the generation of mature 5'-ends of tRNAs by cleaving the 5'-leader elements of precursor-tRNAs.
Source: RNAcentral